CUACGGGAGGCAGCAGUAGGGAAUCUUCCGCAAUGGACGAAAGUCUGACGGAGCAACGCCGCGUGAGUGAUGAAGGCUUUCGGGUCGUAAAACUCUGUUGUUAGGGAAGAACAAGUGCUAGUUGAAUAAGCUGGCACCUUGACGGUACCUAACCAGAAAGCCACGGCUAACUACGUGCCAGCAGCCGCGGUAAUACGUAGGUGGCAAGCGUUAUCCGGAAUUAUUGGGCGUAAAGCGCGCGCAGGUGGUUUCUUAAGUCUGAUGUGAAAGCCCACGGCUCAACCGUGGAGGGUCAUUGGAAACUGGGAGACUUGAGUGCAGAAGAGGAAAGUGGAAUUCCAUGUGUAGCGGUGAAAUGCGUAGAGAUAUGGAGGAACACCAGUGGCGAAGGCGACUUUCUGGUCUGUA
RNAcentral lists this ribosomal RNA (408 nucleotides) under Bacillus cereus. RNAcentral describes it as "bacterial SSU rRNA". It matches the Rfam family "Bacterial small subunit ribosomal RNA", at positions 339 to 738 of the family's 1533-position model. The record is from RNAcentral. Lineage: Bacteria; Bacillati; Bacillota; Bacilli; Caryophanales; Bacillaceae.